GUGAACGCUGGCGGUAGGCCUAACACAUGCAAGUCGAACGGCAGCACAGUAAGAGCUUGCUCUUACGGGUGGCGAGUGGCGGACGGGUGAGGAAUACAUCGGAAUCUACUUUUUCGUGGGGGAUAACGUAGGGAAACUUACGCUAAUACCGCAUACGACCUACGGGUGAAAGCAGGGGAUCUUCGGACCUUGCGCGAUUGAAUGAGCCGAUGUCGGAUUAGCUAGUUGGCGGGGUAAAGGCCCACCAAGGCGACGAUCCGUAGCUGGUCUGAGAGGAUGAUCAGCCACACUGGAACUGAGACACGGUCCAGACUCCUACGGGAGGCAGCAGUGGGGAAUAUUGGACAAUGGGCGCAAGCCUGAUCCAGCCAUACCGCGUGGGUGAAGAAGGCCUUCGGGUUGUAAAGCCCUUUUGUUGGGAAAGAAAAGCAGCGGUUAAUACCCCGCUGUUCUGACGGUACCCAAAGAAUAAGCACCGGCUAACUUCGUG
Molecule: ribosomal RNA, 490 nt
Filed under: uncultured bacterium
Lineage: Bacteria
Description: partial 16S ribosomal RNA
Rfam family: Bacterial small subunit ribosomal RNA
Source: RNAcentral